RNAcentral lists this ribosomal RNA (1029 nucleotides) under Alternaria poaceicola. Its description in RNAcentral is "SSU rRNA". It matches the Rfam family "Eukaryotic small subunit ribosomal RNA", at positions 74 to 1112 of the family's 1831-position model. Lineage: Eukaryota; Fungi; Ascomycota; Dothideomycetes; Pleosporales; Pleosporaceae. The record is from RNAcentral.
UUAUACCGUGAAACUGCGAAUGGCUCAUUAAAUCAGUUAUCGUUUAUUUGAUAAUACCUUACUACUUGGAUAACCGUGGUAAUUCUAGAGCUAAUACAUGCUGAAAAUCCCGACUUCGGAAGGGAUGUGUUUAUUAGAUAAAAAACCAAUGCCCUUCGGGGCUCCUUGGUGAUUCAUGAUAACUUUACGGAUCGCAUAGCCUUGCGCUGGCGACGGUUCAUUCAAAUUUCUGCCCUAUCAACUUUCGAUGGUAAGGUAUUGGCUUACCAUGGUUUCAACGGGUAACGGGGAAUUAGGGUUCGAUUCCGGAGAGGCAGCCUGAGAAACGGCUACCACAUCCAAGGAAGGCAGCAGGCGCGCAAAUUACCCAAUCCCGACACGGGGAGGUAGUGACAAUAAAUACUGAUACAGGGCUCUUUUGGGUCUUGUAAUUGGAAUGAGUACAAUUCAAAUCUCUUAACGAGGAACAAUUGGAGGGCAAGUCUGGUGCCAGCAGCCGCGGUAAUUCCAGCUCCAAUAGCGUAUAUUAAAGUUGUUGCAGUUAAAAAGCUCGUAGUUGAAACUUGGGCCUGGCUGGCGGGUCCGCCUCACCGCGUGCACUCGUCCGGCCGGGCCUUCCUUCUGAAGAACCUCAUGCCCUUCACUGGGCGUGCUGGGGAAUCAGGACUUUUACUUUGAAAAAAUUAGAGUGUUCAAAGCAGGCCUUUGCUCGAAUACGUUAGCAUGGAAUAAUAAAAUAGGGCGUGCGUUUCUAUUUUGUUGGUUUCUAGAGACGCCGCAAUGAUUAACAGGAACAGUCGGGGGCAUCAGUAUUCAGUUGUCAGAGGUGAAAUUCUUGGAUUUACUGAAGACUAACUACUGCGAAAGCAUUUGCCAAGGAUGUUUUCAUUAAUCAGUGAACGAAAGUUAGGGGAUCGAAGACGAUCAGAUACCGUCGUAGUCUUAACCGUAAACUAUGCCGACUAGGGAUCGGGCGAUGUUCUUUUUCUGACUCGCUCGGCACCUUACGAGAAAUCAAAGUUUUUGGGU